Molecule: small RNA, 22 nt
Filed under: Arabidopsis thaliana (thale cress)
Lineage: Eukaryota; Viridiplantae; Streptophyta; Magnoliopsida; Brassicales; Brassicaceae
Description: ATSL170580
Source: RNAcentral
UUUGCUUUGUUCCUUGUUUGAG